Molecule: ribosomal RNA, 523 nt
Filed under: uncultured bacterium
Lineage: Bacteria
Description: bacterial SSU rRNA
Rfam family: Bacterial small subunit ribosomal RNA
Source: RNAcentral
AGAGUUUGAUCAUGGCUCAGAUUGAACGCUGGCGGAAUGCUUUACACAUGCAAGUCGAACGGCAGCACGGGGGGCAACCCUGGUGGCGAGUGGCGAACGGGUGAGUAAUACAUCGGAACGUGCCCAGUCGUGGGGGAUAACGUAGCGAAAGCUACGCUAAUACCGCAUACGAACUCUGGUUGAAAGCGGGGGAUCGCAAGACCUCGCGCGAUUGGAGCGGCCGAUGGCAGAUUAGGUAGUUGGUGGGGUAAAGGCCUACCAAGCCGACGAUCUGUAGCUGGUCUGAGAGGACGACCAGCCACACUGGGACUGAGACACGGCCCAGACUCCUACGGGAGGCAGCAGUGGGGAAUUUUGGACAAUGGGCGCAAGCCUGAUCCAGCCAUUCCGCGUGCAGGAUGAAGGCCCUCGGGUUGUAAACUGCUUUUGUACGGAACGAAAAGGCCUGAGUUAAUACCUCGGGCUCAUGACGGUACCGUAAGAAUAAGCACCGGCUAACUACGUGCCAGCAGCCGCGGUAAUA